AUGGCCGUGGCCACCACCUCUCCUAUGCUCGGCGCUCUCCUCCUCCUCGCCCUCUUCUCGGCGGCCGGCGUCCACGGCGCCGCGCCUUCUUCACCGCUGGACCAGCUGUGCGGCAGCCUGGGCAGCUUCUACGUCACGCCGGAGCUCUGCGCGUCCGCGCUCUGCGUCGACGCAUCCUCCUGCCGCUCCGCGCGCGGCGCGCCGGAGCUCGCGGCGCUCGCGACUAGGCUGGCGGCGGCCAACGCCACGGCGGCGAAGGCCAGCAUCGAGUCCGCGCUCGCCCUCGACGCGGAGCGCGUCCCGGCGCCGGCCUCGGCGGCGGACGCCGACGCCAGGAAGGGCAUGCGGUCGUGCCUGCAGCUCUACGCCGGCGCCGUCCCGGCGCUGCAGUGGGCGGCGCGGUCCGUCGCCGCGGGGCGAUACAGCGGCGCGCGGGAGGUGCUGGAGGCGGCGCAGUACGUCGCGUCCGGGUGCGCCGGCAUGGCUGGCGAGGCGACGCUGCCCAAGGAGAACGACCGGUUCAGCUCCAUGGCCAUCGUCGCGCACGCCGUCGUUGCAUCCAUGUCUACCACCUGA
This 576-nucleotide ribosomal RNA is filed under the name Triticum aestivum (bread wheat). RNAcentral's name for it is "partial small subunit ribosomal RNA". Lineage: Eukaryota; Viridiplantae; Streptophyta; Magnoliopsida; Poales; Poaceae. The record is from RNAcentral.